Molecule: long non-coding RNA, 439 nt
Organism: Mustela lutreola (European mink)
Lineage: Eukaryota; Metazoa; Chordata; Mammalia; Carnivora; Mustelidae
Exons: 3
Source: RefSeq, a predicted model, not a curated record
UACCUUGGCUUUAAAGCCCGGAAUUGAAGUUGAUUAAGCAAGGAGGAGGAAGAGAAAGAAGAGGAGUUUGAUUAAGGACAGGAGAGCACAGUUUCAGUAACCUGUGGCCAACAGCGGUCCCUGAAACAGAGAAUCCUCCUGACGAAUCAUGGAAUCAUGGACAGGCACUAACUAGUAGCCUGAUGCUGCGUCUUGGUGCCUUCCAUCAUUCACCUCACCUGUUCUCAUCGCGUAGCCAUUUUUUCAUCUCACGUCAUUACAAGAAGAAAAACAUGGUGCUAACUGUAGGGAAGAAGGUGGCAAGAGAAAACAAAAAUCAACUACCCCAAUCCAUUUCUCUCUUUCCCGGCAAUCCUGUUUUGAAGGCAGUCACUGCUUCUCAGAAAGGUCACACCAAAAUCAAUCAAAGGUGGGGUUGGAAACCUUUGUAGCACUAUGA